AGUCUGAAUCAGCUUGUGUGUUAGUGGAACGGUCUGGAAAGUCCGACGGUACAGGGUGAUAGUCCCGUACACGAAAGCACACAUGCUGUGAACUCGAAGAGUAGGGCGGGACACGUGGUAUCCUGUCUGAAUAUGGGGGGACCAUCCUCCAAGGCUAAAUACUCCUGACUGACCGAUAGUGAACCAGUACCGUGAGGGAAAGGCGAAAAGAACCCCGGCGAGGGGAGUGAAAAAGAACCUGAAACCGUGUACGUACAAGCAGUGGGAGCCUCUUUAUGGGGUGACUGCGUACCUUUUGUAUAAUGGGUCAGCGACUUAUAUUCUGUAGCAAGGUUAACCGUAUAGGGGAGCCGAAGGGAAACCGAGUCUUAACUGGGCGUUAAGUUGCAGGGUAUAGACCCGAAACCCGGUGAUCUAGCCAUGGGCAGGUUGAAGGUUGGGUAACACUAACUGGAGGACCGAACCGACUAAUGUUGAAAAAUUAGCGGAUGACCUGUGGCUGGGGGUGAAAGGCCAAUCAAACCGGGAGAUAGCUGGUUCUCCCCGAAAGCUAUUUAGGUAGCGCCUCGUGAACUCAUCUUCGGGGG
RNAcentral lists this ribosomal RNA (587 nucleotides) under Enterobacter hormaechei. Its description in RNAcentral is "partial 23S ribosomal RNA". It matches the Rfam family "Bacterial large subunit ribosomal RNA", at positions 307 to 902 of the family's 2925-position model. Lineage: Bacteria; Pseudomonadati; Pseudomonadota; Gammaproteobacteria; Enterobacterales; Enterobacteriaceae. The record is from RNAcentral.